This 305-nucleotide ribosomal RNA is filed under the name uncultured bacterium. Its description in RNAcentral is "bacterial SSU rRNA". It matches the Rfam family "Bacterial small subunit ribosomal RNA", at positions 337 to 657 of the family's 1533-position model. The record is from RNAcentral.
UCCUACGGGGGGCAGCAGUGGGGAAUAUUGGGCAAUGGGCGCAAGCCUGACCCAGCAACGCCGCGUGAAGGAAGAAGGCUUUCGGGUUGUAAACUUCUUUUGACAGGGAAGAGCAGAAGACGGUACCUGUCGAAUAAGCCACGGCUAACUACGUGCCAGCAGCCGCGGUAAUACGUAGGUGGCAAGCGUUGUCCGGAUUUACUGGGUGUAAAGGGCGUGUAGCCGGGCUGACAAGUCAGAUGUGAAAUCCGGGGGCUCAACCCCGGAACUGCUUUGGAAACUGUGCAGCUAGAGUGCGGGAGAGG